RNAcentral lists this ribosomal RNA (471 nucleotides) under uncultured bacterium. RNAcentral describes it as "SSU rRNA". It matches the Rfam family "Bacterial small subunit ribosomal RNA", at positions 26 to 523 of the family's 1533-position model. The record is from RNAcentral.
AGCCUGAACGCUGGCGGCGUGGCUAAGACAUGCAAGUCGCACGGAGGUAGCAAUACCUUAGUGGCGAACGGGUGAGUAAUGUAUCGCUAACGUACCCUUAAGUCCGGGAUAGCCAGGGGAAACUCUGGGUAAUACCGGUUGACAUUCUUCUUCCACAUGGUUGGAGACUCAAAGGAGCAAUCCGCUGAAGGAGCGGGCGAUAUCGUAUCAGCUAGUUGGUGAGGUAACGGCUCACCAAGGCGACGACGCGUAGCCGGACUGAGAGGUCGGUCGGCCACAUUGGGACUGAGACACUGCCCAGACUCCUACGGGGGCUGCAGUAACGAAUCUUCCGCAAUGCACGCAAGUGUGACGGAGCGACGCCGCGUGUGGGACGAAGUCCUUCGGGAUGUAAACCACUGUCAGGGGUUACCAAGUUCUGAGGAGCCCCAGAGGAAGGCACGGCUAACUCUGUGCCAGCAGCCGCGGUAA